RNAcentral lists this non-coding RNA (25 nucleotides) under Mus musculus (house mouse). The record is from RNAcentral. Lineage: Eukaryota; Metazoa; Chordata; Mammalia; Rodentia; Muridae.
UCCCAAUGAGGUAGACACAGAAAGC